This 497-nucleotide ribosomal RNA is filed under the name uncultured bacterium. Its description in RNAcentral is "partial 16S ribosomal RNA". It matches the Rfam family "Bacterial small subunit ribosomal RNA", at positions 28 to 507 of the family's 1533-position model. The record is from RNAcentral.
GAUGAACGCUGGCGGCGUGCCUAAUACAUGCAAGUCGAGCGAACUGACGAGGAGCUUGCUCCUCUGACGUUACCGACGGACGGGUGAGUAACACGUGGAUAACCUUUCUUUCAGACUGAGCUAACUUCAGUUAACCUGAUCUAAUACCGGCUAAUAUAUUGAACCGCAUGUUUCAAUAGUGUAAGCCGGUUUUUCUGUCACUUAUUGAUGGAUCCGCGCCGCAUUAGCUAGUUGGUAAGGGAACGGCAUACCAAGGCAACGAUGCUUAGCCGACCUGAGAGGGUGAUCGGGCAGACGGGAAGUGAGAAACGGUACAGACACUGACGGGAGGAAGCAGUAGAGAAUCUUACGCGAUGGGCGAAAGCUUGACGGAGGAACGCCGCGGGAAUCAUGAAGGUGUUAGGAUGGGAAAACGCUGUAAUUAGGGAAGAAGAAAAGUGUAAGUAACUAGGCACGUCUUGACGGUACCUAAACAGAAAGCCACGGCAAACUACGUG